This 119-nucleotide ribosomal RNA is filed under the name Pteropus alecto (black flying fox). Lineage: Eukaryota; Metazoa; Chordata; Mammalia; Chiroptera; Pteropodidae. The record is from RNAcentral.
GUCUACGGCCAUGCUACCCUGAAUAAGCCUGAUCCCAUCUGAUCCUGGAAGCUAAGCAGGGCUGGGCCUGGUUAGUACUUGGAUGGGAGACCACCUAGGAAGACCAGGUGCUAUAGGCG